Poecilia latipinna (sailfin molly) is the source of this 607-nucleotide long non-coding RNA. RefSeq lists it as uncharacterized. The record is from RefSeq and is a predicted model, not a curated record. Lineage: Eukaryota; Metazoa; Chordata; Actinopteri; Cyprinodontiformes; Poeciliidae. The transcript has 3 exons.
AAUCUGUGUAAAAUGUAUUUAGCAUCCCGAUCCACUCUCCAUUCCAGUAGAUGGCGGUAAUGCACAUCUAAACGUUGCUUGCCAACCGCCAUAAAAAAAUAAAAUAAAAUAAAAUAAAAAACAAGAACUCAACACGCUGUCCGAGAAAUCUUUUGAGUCAUUUUUGCCUCAUCAUCAGCCAACAUUGAGGCAAAGACGACUGGCAAGAAAAUUCCCCAAGGAGUUGUACAUCAGCUCUGAAAAACCCAAGUUUUUCGCAGCCAGAGGACGAAUGGGGCGCAGAAAGUCUCGUUAUGUGAGAGUGAAAGCUCCGUCGGGUGCAUUUUGUACUUGAAAAACGGAUCAAUGCAGCUGGCACUCACCUGCUUCACCUCUUCAUGACUGGUCUGAAUGCAGUGACCUUGUCGUUCUGCACAGUCCCACAGGCUUCGCUGAGGUCAGAUGACUGAAUCUCUACCUUGCCACUGGAGAAUCCUGCGUGUCCAAGUAAAAGCACACCUCAAGAAAGUUGCUUCAGGCAUCUGGAAGGGGAGCAUAAGACGAGCUGUGAAGUUGGAGGCCCUUGUGGCUGUAGCUGCCUGUGCCGUAAACUUUUGAGUGCAAGGAU